GCCAAGAUGGCCGAGCGGUUAAGGCGGUGGUUUUAAGCACCAUCGAAAGAUUCCAGGGUUCGAAUCCCUGUCUUGGCA
This 78-nucleotide transfer RNA is filed under the name Nilaparvata lugens yeast-like symbiont. RNAcentral's name for it is "tRNA-Leu (TAA) (tRNA-Leu-TAA-1-1)". It matches the Rfam family "tRNA". Rfam says of the family: Transfer RNA (tRNA) molecules are approximately 80 nucleotides in length. Their secondary structure includes four short double-helical elements and three loops (D, anti-codon, and T loops). Lineage: Eukaryota; Fungi; Ascomycota. The record is from RNAcentral.